Molecule: long non-coding RNA, 228 nt
Filed under: Nicotiana benthamiana
Lineage: Eukaryota; Viridiplantae; Streptophyta; Magnoliopsida; Solanales; Solanaceae
Description: long non-coding RNA (NBEN_LNC014313)
Source: RNAcentral
GAUCAUUAGGAAGCCCAGCAAAAGUAAGAACUAGAAACAUCUUUUGUCGCUGCUCUUGCUGCUUUGCAACACUAGCAGAAACUGUCAUCAACGUCUCAAAUUCCUCCAUAACUACCUGUACUUGUCCUAAGUAAGUAGACAUAUCUAAUUCCUGUUUCUUUAAAUUUGUCAUCCGCGAUAUCACAUCAUAGAAACGAGAUAUGUCAUUAGUGUAUAAAGUACGAGCCU